AAUGGAGUACAGGUGGUGGCAUGGUUGUCGUCAGCUCGUGCCGUGAGGUGUUGGGUUAAGUCCCGCAACGAGCGCAACCCUCAUUGUUAGUUACUACCAUUCAGUUGAGGACUCUAAUGAGACUGCCAACGACAAGUUGGAGGAAGGUGGGGAUGACGUCAAAUCAUCAUGCCCUUUAUGACCUGGGCUACAAACAUACUACAAUGGCCAAUACAAAGAGAUGCGAAGCGGUGACGUGGAGCGAACCUCAGAAAGUUGGUCUCAGUUCAGAUUGAAGUCUGCAGCUCGACUUCAUGAAGGCGGAAUCGCUAGUAAUCGCGGGUCAGCAGACCGCGGUGAAUACGUUCCCGGGUUUU
Molecule: ribosomal RNA, 356 nt
Filed under: uncultured Mollicutes bacterium
Lineage: Bacteria; Bacillati; Mycoplasmatota; Mollicutes
Description: bacterial SSU rRNA
Rfam family: Bacterial small subunit ribosomal RNA
Source: RNAcentral